AUUUUUAAAAAUCUAUGUCCAUAUUUUCUUGAACAAUCCAAAAAAUCACUUGAAAGCUUAUUUUUUUUAAAUCUUUGUCUAAAGAUGUCUUCUGCACUGGGGUCUUCAUUCUCCAUUCAACAGGGAAGUUAACACCCAAGGAACAACUCUGAACCUAUACUUCUCCCUUCCUAUGGAGUGCCUUCAGCUCACCUCCUCAAUGAACCACUUUCAACGAAAUCCUUUUCUCACCAUCUGCUUUGUGGGAACAUAAAACUAAGAGGUUCUGAGCCCAUGUAUACACUCUUGUUAUUUAAUAUGGAUGACUCCGGGUCACUCAGCAAUCGAAGAAAGAAAAGACAAAGCUUUCAUGUUUGCUUUCCACUUUCUCUGGGCCUAGAGGAGUUAAAAGGCAGAAUGUGAAAGCCAAAGAGAACAAAAACAAGCUCAUUUCUAAUGAAGACUUUGAUUCAAGUUUUUACUUUUGGAGCUUCAAGUUCAGUGUAAGUCUUCCUAUUUAAGCAAAAUACUUUAUUCUAAUUGAUAUGAAAUUUUAUUUAUUAA
This 543-nucleotide long non-coding RNA is filed under the name Vulpes vulpes (red fox). RNAcentral's name for it is "lncRNA (ENSVVUG00000022963.1)". Lineage: Eukaryota; Metazoa; Chordata; Mammalia; Carnivora; Canidae. The record is from RNAcentral.